GCAGCGGUAGUUCAGUUGGUUAGAAUACCGGCCUGUCACGCCGGGGGUCGCGGGUUCGAGCCCCGUCCGCU
This 71-nucleotide transfer RNA is filed under the name Acinetobacter baumannii UH7007. Its description in RNAcentral is "tRNA-Asp". It matches the Rfam family "tRNA". Rfam says of the family: Transfer RNA (tRNA) molecules are approximately 80 nucleotides in length. Their secondary structure includes four short double-helical elements and three loops (D, anti-codon, and T loops). Further hydrogen bonds mediate the characteristic L-shaped molecular structure. tRNAs have two regions of fundamental functional importance: the anti-codon, which is responsible for specific mRNA codon recognition, and the 3' end, to which the tRNAs corresponding amino acid is attached (by aminoacyl-tRNA synthetases). tRNAs cope with the degeneracy of the genetic code in two manners: having more than one tRNA (with a specific anti-codon) for a particular amino acid; and 'wobble' base-pairing, i.e. permitting non-standard base-pairing at the 3rd anti-codon position. Lineage: Bacteria; Pseudomonadati; Pseudomonadota; Gammaproteobacteria; Moraxellales; Moraxellaceae. The record is from RNAcentral.